This 1470-nucleotide long non-coding RNA is filed under the name Homo sapiens (human). Its description in RNAcentral is "HSALNT0399991". The record is from RNAcentral. Lineage: Eukaryota; Metazoa; Chordata; Mammalia; Primates; Hominidae.
GGGCUGGUGCUCUCGUUCAGAUAGAUUUAGCUGGUGGUGCAGAGAUCCGUGAGCUUGCUUUUACAGGACUUUAAUGAUAUAUAAAAGCAGCACGAGGUGCUCCUGACUGUGGAUUAAUUUGGAGAUGACUUUCUCUGUUGAAGAGUAGCAAGACUCUCGCGAGUUCUUAAAAAUGCACUUGUUUGGUAUGAGAAUGAAAAGCAGUGGCUGAAGAACCAAUCUUCAAUGGGCAAGCCUUCUCUGUGUCUGUUCUAACACGUGCCAUUUGGGAUCCCUUGGAAUCUUCAUGUACAGAACUGGUUGCUGCCUCGUUGAGUCGGUGGGGACAGAAUAGCUCCUGGUUGACAGCAUGGGUUGUGCAGAAGGACGGAUCCUGCAGACAUCAAUAUCUGGCUUUGAGUGGCACAAAGAAAUAAAGGAAUGUGGAUUCAGACCUCACUGGGAUGCUUGGCAAUUCUAAUUCUACCCCAGACUGCAAAUGGACACACAACUGUUGUGACUUUUGUUGAAGAGGAGAAGGAUGGCACAGAAGCUGGAUUCAGAAGCACACAGGUCUGGGGAUGCAGGCUUCGGCCAGCCUGAUGCAAGGAAAGACUGCCAUCUCGUGGUCAGCUCAAUCCUGGCACCUUGGUGAGGGACCAGGCUGCAGAAAACCAGGCUUGGGGAGGAAACGGUGCUGCAAACUGGAUUUCUGCCGGACAGUGUGGAUGCCCUUAGAAAACACCCAGAAAAGAGCUGAGUGCCCCCCAAGACUUGCCCUGAAUUCUUUCAUGUGCAAUAUCCGAAAACCCUCUCUUGGGGCCUGGAUCAGGACCCCUUUCCUAUAACAUCUUUCUGGCGACAACAAAGGGACAAUGGUGUGGAAUCCCCCUUCCCAAAUGCUACUUUUAGAUAUCACCUUUUGUCGGAACUUGGAGUUGGUAAUGACCUUCACCAUACCACCACUCUGGGACUGAGCUUCUCUCUACCCUGAUGCAAGAGACCCUAAUAGGCAGGAAUAUGACCACCCCUAUUCAGCCUGAAGAAGUUACAGAAGUUCUGAAACCCUUAGAAAUGAGGGUCUUCUUGUAAAGGGAGUGGGGAGAUAUAUCAGAGGCAUUUGAACCAGAGCAACUCCAUCUUGAGUGAGGGCUAGGAAAAUGAGGCUAGGACUUGCUGGGCUGCAUUCUCAGAAAGUCAGUCAUUCCUAGCCUCUAGAUGUUUACGGUUAAGGGAACAAAUUUAUAACAUUUACUAAACACACCCAGACUUGGGAGUGUCCAGAUAUCCCAAUAUCUGGAGAACAAAGGCAUUCCUAAUUUUGCUUUAAAGACAAUAAUAUUGAUUCUUGCAAAAUAUAGUAAUUAAGAAAAUUAAUCCUUUAUCACAAACCCUUGUAGUAAAACACAUCUCCCCAUAUAUACAAGCAUUGUACCUAAGGUGGAUGCGUUCCAUCUCUUACUUUCAGGAAUGUCCUACACUAUCUAAGGA